This 232-nucleotide ribosomal RNA is filed under the name uncultured bacterium. RNAcentral's name for it is "partial 16S ribosomal RNA". It matches the Rfam family "Bacterial small subunit ribosomal RNA", at positions 99 to 334 of the family's 1533-position model. The record is from RNAcentral.
CGGACGGGUGAGUAACGCGUAGGAAUCUACCCAGUAGUGGGGGACAACAUGGUGAAAACCAUGCUAAUACCGCAUACGCCCUAUGGGGGAAAGCGGGGGACCUUCGGGCCUCGCGCUAUUGGAUGAGCCUGCGUCGGAUUAGCUUGUUGGUGAGGUAAAGGCACACCAAGGCGACGAUCCGUAGCUGGUCUGAGAGGAUGAUCAGCCACACUGGAACUGAGACACGGUCCAG